UAUACAUACAUAUACAUAUGUAGCUAAGUAGAUAGCUAUGGGUAUAUAUGUAUAUAUUUCAACUUGGAAAAAACUUGUAAAAGAAUUGACUCUUGCCUCCUUAAAACAUCUUUCCUAUUCAAUUAUGUAAUCAUUGAACAUUAGCAGAUGAGGAGAGAAGAUUUUGUUUACUGAUUUUAUGAUUUUAAGCUAAUUAUUUUAAUAGCUUUGGGUCUAUAUUGUAAUUACACUUUCUAAACAUUUUCUCCAUUUAAAGGAAAAAGUUGGAGAUAUCCAUAUUGUGAAAGGAGAAGCAAGAAACUAUAAGACUUCACCAAUAGCAUGGCUCUGGAUCAUCAGCUCUCACCUGUGUCUCCAAGAAGCUAUUGCAUGUGGAGUUGCCUGCUGAUGAGUUAAACUAGCUUGAUGUCUACUGCAGAUUUGUGAAAACUUUUUCUGCCCAAAAGGUGAGAAAAAUGAGACGCAGAGAAGACAUACAGAAAAAGCUAUGACUUCAGGUCUUCUGGCUCUAAAUUCAAGGCUCUAGAUUCUUCACUAUGCAAUACAAGAAUCAAAAAGGAAGAAAAAGCAGAAGAAAUAGUAUUAGAAGAAGAGAUUAGCAGUGCCAAACUUAACAAGGAAAAGGCUCAAAGGAGAUUUUUCUGCAAUGGCAAAGAACACAAUUGGUGGAACUCCUUUUAUUUUAAAAAAUAUAAGCAAAUAAAGAAUGUGUAUAAGCUCGAAAAAACUGAUCAAAAGGUAAGUUUUCAUUAUGUUAAAUUUGUCAUAAAAUGCAUGUGGGGUUUUUUGUGUGUUUGCCCACUUUAAUUACUAGAUAUUAAGUGUGUGUUUUCUGAUUUUAAUUGUUUUCCCUUUUUAAUUACUAUGUUUUGAGCUUUUUUUAAAAAUAAAAAUCCCUUACCUUCUGUCUUAGAAUCA
Molecule: long non-coding RNA, 918 nt
Filed under: Monodelphis domestica (gray short-tailed opossum)
Lineage: Eukaryota; Metazoa; Chordata; Mammalia; Didelphimorphia; Didelphidae
Description: lncRNA (ENSMODG00000039716.1)
Source: RNAcentral